RNAcentral lists this ribosomal RNA (497 nucleotides) under uncultured bacterium. RNAcentral describes it as "partial 16S ribosomal RNA". It matches the Rfam family "Bacterial small subunit ribosomal RNA", at positions 28 to 507 of the family's 1533-position model. The record is from RNAcentral.
GAUGAACGCUGGCGGCGUGCCUAAUACAUGCAAGUCGAGCGAACAGACGAUGAGCUUGCUCCUCUGACGUUAGCGGCUGACGGGUGAGUAACACGUGGAUAACCUACCUAUAAGACUGGGAUAACUUCGGGAAACCGGAGCUAAUACCAGAUAAUAUAUUGAACCGCAUGGUUCAAUAGUGAAUGGCAGUUUUGCUGUCACUUAUAGAUGUAUCCGCGCCGCAUUAGCUAGUUGGUAAGGUAACGGCUUACCAAGGCGACGAUGCGUAGCCGAGCUGAGAGGGUGAUCGGCCACACUGGAACUGAGACACGGUCCAGACUCCUACGGGAGGCAGCAGUAGGGAAUCUUCCACAAUGGGCGCAAGCCUGACGGAGCAACGCCGCGUGAGUGAAGAAGGUCUUCGGAUCGUAAAACCCUGUUGUUAGGGAAGAAAAAGUGUGUAAGUAACUCUGCACGUCUUGACGGUACCUAAUCAGAAAGCAACGGCUAACUACGUG